This 622-nucleotide ribosomal RNA is filed under the name Staphylococcus aureus. Its description in RNAcentral is "bacterial SSU rRNA". It matches the Rfam family "Bacterial small subunit ribosomal RNA", at positions 202 to 814 of the family's 1533-position model. The record is from RNAcentral. Lineage: Bacteria; Bacillati; Bacillota; Bacilli; Caryophanales; Staphylococcaceae.
AAGACGGUCUUGCUGUCACUUAUAGAUGGAUCCGCGCUGCAUUAGCUAGUUGGUAAGGUAACGGCUUACCAAGGCAACGAUGCAUAGCCGACCUGAGAGGGUGAUCGGCCACACUGGAACUGAGACACGGUCCAGACUCCUACGGGAGGCAGCAGUAGGGAAUCUUCCGCAAUGGGCGAAAGCCUGACGGAGCAACGCCGCGUGAGUGAUGAAGGUCUUCGGAUCGUAAAACUCUGUUAUUAGGGAAGAACAUAUGUGUAAGUAACUGUGCACAUCUUGACGGUACCUAAUCAGAAAGCCACGGCUAACUACGUGCCAGCAGCCGCGGUAAUACGUAGGUGGCAAGCGUUAUCCGGAAUUAUUGGGCGUAAAGCGCGCGUAGGCGGUUUUUUAAGUCUGAUGUGAAAGCCCACGGCUCAACCGUGGAGGGUCAUUGGAAACUGGAAAACUUGAGUGCAGAAGAGGAAAGUGGAAUUCCAUGUGUAGCGGUGAAAUGCGCAGAGAUAUGGAGGAACACCAGUGGCGAAGGCGACUUUCUGGUCUGUAACUGACGCUGAUGUGCGAAAGCGUGGGGAUCAAACAGGAUUAGAUACCCUGGUAGUCCACGCCGUAAACGAUGAGU